Molecule: ribosomal RNA, 858 nt
Filed under: Vibrio sp. AA501501
Lineage: Bacteria; Pseudomonadati; Pseudomonadota; Gammaproteobacteria; Vibrionales; Vibrionaceae
Description: bacterial SSU rRNA
Rfam family: Bacterial small subunit ribosomal RNA
Source: RNAcentral
GGGCGUAAGCGCAUGCAGGUGGUUCAUUAAGUCAGAUGUGAAAGCCCGGGGCUCAACCUCGGAACUGCAUUUGAAACUGGUGAACUAGAGUGCUGUAGAGGGGGGUAGAAUUUCAGGUGUAGCGGUGAAAUGCGUAGAGAUCUGAAGGAAUACCAGUGGCGAAGGCGGCCCCCUGGACAGACACUGACACUCAGAUGCGAAAGCGUGGGGAGCAAACAGGAUUAGAUACCCUGGUAGUCCACGCCGUAAACGAUGUCUACUUGGAGGUUGUGGCCUUGAGCCGUGGCUUUCGGAGCUAACGCGUUAAGUAGACCGCCUGGGGAGUACGGUCGCAAGAUUAAAACUCAAAUGAAUUGACGGGGGCCCGCACAAGCGGUGGAGCAUGUGGUUUAAUUCGAUGCAACGCGAAGAACCUUACCUACUCUUGACAUCCAGAGAAGCCAGCGGAGACGCAGGUGUGCCUUCGGGAACUCUGAGACAGGUGCUGCAUGGCUGUCGUCAGCUCGUGUUGUGAAAUGUUGGGUUAAGUCCCGCAACGAGCGCAACCCUUAUCCUUGUUUGCCAGCGAGUAAUGUCGGGAACUCCAGGGAGACUGCCGGUGAUAAACCGGAGGAAGGUGGGGACGACNUCAAGUCAUCAUGGCCCUUACGAGUAGGGCUACACACGUGCUACAAUGGCGCAUACAGAGGGCAGCAAGCUAGCGAUAGUGAGCGAAUCCCAAAAAGUGCGUCGUANUCCGGAUUGGAGUCUGCAACUCGACUCCNUGAAGUCGGAAUCGCUAGUAAUCGUGAAUCANAAUGUCACGGUGAAUACGUUCCCGGGCCUUGUACACACCGCCCGUCACACCAUGGGAGUGGG